CAAAUGUGAAAUAUAAAGGGACAGUUUGUCCACAACUAUCGCUUUAGGCAACAGUGUCAAAGUAGGCGCGGGAAAUCCGCGGACUUGGCAACACAGACGCGUCAGUGGCGUUUAAAGCGGAAGUAGUUGCGUAAACCGUAAAUUAAUUGAUCUGCAUACGUUAUGAUUUUAUUAGCUGGUGGGAUAUCGUUCAUCAAGCAACGAAAUGUGUUUAAACCGGAUGAUACAAUAAGCGCUUGUGUGGAGGAUGUAAUCACUGGGUUUGUCGGAGUUUUUCAGAGAUCAAGAUAAGGCACCGUCCUACACAAAAGUGCAUAUGGGUCGCAUGAAUAAUGGAUAUGUGGCUUGAACUCCCGCUGAACUCCCACAGCUUUGUCAAAUGGAGAUCUACAGCAAACCUGCACACCCAUUAAUACAUAUCCUUCAUUGUGCUGUUGUGGCCGUUCAUUCAUGCGUUCUGUGUGUCUGUCACAGCUCUGGGUGCGGCCGAUCGGCUGACACACUCAAACAAGGUACGCUUUGUUCAACCCCGUGGUGUUUGUGGUCGUGUACAUCUAAUGAGGUUAGAUAAACCCUCUACACUGACCUGAGACCUGGGAGAAAGGUGACUGGAGUUAAUGUGUAACACAGGUUUACGUGUGUAACACAGGUUUACGUGUUCUUUGACUUCGACCUGUGAAACCAGUUUUUGGUGAUUUAUAAUAUUUACAAAUAAAUAAUGUUUAAA
This is a long non-coding RNA of Cyprinus carpio carpio, 727 nucleotides long. NCBI's taxonomy places the organism in Eukaryota, Metazoa, Chordata, Actinopteri, Cypriniformes, Cyprinidae. The record is from Ensembl.